CAGACGGGGGCUGGGUGAUUUGAGAGGAUGCCAAUACAAAGGUCACUAUAUGGUCCUACAUAUGCAUUUGGUUCUCAUAUGUAAAGACAAGCCUGAAUACCACGUUGAAAAACAUAACCAGUAUACUCUGUAUGGUCUGACGAAAGGAUCUGGUUGGAUGAGGUACAUUUCAGAUGUUUC
Long non-coding RNA from Cygnus olor (mute swan), 180 nucleotides. RefSeq lists it as uncharacterized. The record is from RefSeq and is a predicted model, not a curated record. The transcript is spliced from 3 exons. NCBI's taxonomy places the organism in Eukaryota, Metazoa, Chordata, Aves, Anseriformes, Anatidae.